UAGAGUUUGAUCCUGGCUCAGAACGAACGCUGGCGGCAUGCCUAACACAUGCAAGUCGAACGAGAUCUUCGGGUCUGGUGGCGCACGGGUGCGUAACGCGUGGGAAUCUGCCCUUUGGUUCGGAAUAACAGUUGGAAACGACUGCUAAUACCGGAUGAUGACGAAAGUCCAAAGAUUUAUCGCCAGAGGAUGAGCCCGCGUAGGAUUAGCUAGUUGGUGUGGUAAAGGCGCACCAAGGCGACGAUCCUUAGCUGGUCUGAGAGGAUGAUCAGCCACACUGGGACUGAGACACGGCCCAGACUCCUACGGGAGGCAGCAGUGGGGAAUAUUGGACAAUGGGCGAAAGCCUGAUCCAGCAAUGCCGCGUGAGUGAUGAAGGCCUUAGGGUUGUAAAGCUCUUUUACCCGGGAUGAUAAUGACAGUACCGGGAGAAUAAGCUCCGGCUAACUCCGUGCCAGCCGCCGCGGUAAUACA
This 474-nucleotide ribosomal RNA is filed under the name uncultured bacterium. RNAcentral's name for it is "bacterial SSU rRNA". It matches the Rfam family "Bacterial small subunit ribosomal RNA", at positions 1 to 527 of the family's 1533-position model. The record is from RNAcentral.